Molecule: ribosomal RNA, 550 nt
Filed under: uncultured bacterium
Lineage: Bacteria
Description: bacterial SSU rRNA
Rfam family: Bacterial small subunit ribosomal RNA
Source: RNAcentral
UAGGGAAUCGUCCACAAUGGGCGCAAGCCUGAUGGAGCAACACCGCGUGAGUGAAGAAGGGUUUCGGCUCGUAAAGCUCUGUUGUUAAAGAAGAACACGUAUGAGAGUAACUGUUCAUACGUUGACGGUAUUUAACCAGAAAGUCACGGCUAACUACGUGCCAGCAGCCGCGGUAAUACGUAGGUGGCAAGCGUUAUCCGGAUUUAUUGGGCGUAAAGAGAGUGCAGGCGGUUUUCUAAGUCUGAUGUGAAAGCCUUCGGCUUAACCGGAGAAGUGCAUCGGAAACUGGAUAACUUGAGUGCAGAAGAGGGUAGUGGAACUCCAUGUGUAGCGGUGGAAUGCGUAGAUAUAUGGAAGAACACCAGUGGCGAAGGCGGCUACCUGGUCUGCAACUGACGCUGAGACUCGAAAGCAUGGGUAGCGAACAGGAUUAGAUACCCUGGUAGUCCAUGCCGUAAACGAUGAGUGCUAGGUGUUGGAGGGUUUCCGCCCUUCAGUGCCGGAGCUAACGCAUUAAGCACUCCGCCUGGGGAGUACGACCGCAAGGUUG